Long non-coding RNA from Xenia sp. Carnegie-2017, 218 nucleotides. RefSeq lists it as uncharacterized. The transcript has 3 exons. NCBI's taxonomy places the organism in Eukaryota, Metazoa, Cnidaria, Anthozoa, Malacalcyonacea, Xeniidae. The record is from RefSeq and is a predicted model, not a curated record.
GUGGUUGAAUGGUCUUAAGCUUUCUUCCUUGACGGCUUUGUUUAAAAGUACUUUUUUGCGUUUAUUUGAUCUUGCGAUCAAACCAUUCAAGUCAUUGUCAAGUACGGAAGUAAGAUGAGACUUUACAGCAACAUACAAUGAAAGGAAUACAUGCAGCUAUGAAUUUAAGUCAUGCAGGAUGCGAUGGAAAACAAGCUGCAUAGUUCAGAGUGGAGAGU